Molecule: long non-coding RNA, 742 nt
Organism: Zingiber officinale
Lineage: Eukaryota; Viridiplantae; Streptophyta; Magnoliopsida; Zingiberales; Zingiberaceae
Exons: 3
Source: RefSeq, a predicted model, not a curated record
GUGUCGUUUCCUUCCCCGCGUGUCGCGCCCCGCUUACUCACCCGACCCAUGCCAUACGGUGCCGAUGCCACCCAACCGACGCACCGACACCGCCAACGUUCACGACACCUCUUCUUCCCCACCAGUACAAAAGCUUUGAGCCGAAUCCCUUCCACUUUUGUCGACUCUUUCCUCUUCCUCAUCUGCUCUCAACCCCCUUCCUUUCGCUUAGAUCUAUCGACCACCAAUCGUCGACAACGACGCCGACAAGCCCGACGAGCAGGGAGCAACGCCAAGCACAGGUUUCCUCCCCUAGCCAAUCUUCUUUCCCUCUGCCCUAGUUUUGUUCGGCGCCACUGGAUCCGCCGAUCUCCUUCGACCACUGGACCGAGCUGGUGCCACCCAACCGCCGCGCAUGAGAAGGGGUUCAAGAUCCCAAGGUCAAUGCCCUAGCUUCCGACUCCAGCCUCUGCCGAUCUGCCGCCUGAUCUUCCCUCCAGCUGGCUGCCGAUGAUUCAACUCAAGUGACAUUCUACAAGUACGAACAGGGGCAUGUUGUGGUGCCCUAGACCUCUACCUUUAAUAUAGCUGAUUUGGGGCAUUCGUUCGAUGGUCAACAACGUCAUCCAGCUCUGGCCACCAAUUUCCAACAUCAAACUUCUCCGAUCGCAGAUCAACAUUAGCACGAUCGAAGUAGGAUUCGGAUUCGGGACAAGCACAUCGACAUAGAGGUUGAUUAGCUCAAUCUACAUUAGAGGCGGGU